Molecule: transfer RNA, 81 nt
Filed under: Brassica napus (rape)
Lineage: Eukaryota; Viridiplantae; Streptophyta; Magnoliopsida; Brassicales; Brassicaceae
Rfam family: tRNA
About the family: Transfer RNA (tRNA) molecules are approximately 80 nucleotides in length. Their secondary structure includes four short double-helical elements and three loops (D, anti-codon, and T loops).
Source: Rfam by way of RNAcentral
GUCAAGAUGGCCGAGUUAGUCUAGGGCGCCAGUUUCAGGUACUGGUCCGAAAGGGCGUGGGUUCAAAUUCCACUCUUGACA